This 253-nucleotide ribosomal RNA is filed under the name uncultured bacterium. RNAcentral describes it as "partial 16S ribosomal RNA". It matches the Rfam family "Bacterial small subunit ribosomal RNA", at positions 524 to 776 of the family's 1533-position model. The record is from RNAcentral.
UACGUAGGCAGCGAGCGUUGUUCGGAGUUACUGGGCGUAAAGAGUGCGUAGGCGGUUUUCCAAGUUUGGUGUGAAAUCUCCCGGCUUAACUGGGAGGGUGCGCCGAAAACUGGAAGGCUUGAGUAUGGGAGAGGUAAGCGGAAUUCCUGGUGUAGCGGUGAAAUUCGUAGAUAUCGAGAGGAACACCGGUGGCGAAGGCGGCGAUCUGGACGAUGACUGACGCUGAGACGCGAAAGCGUGGGGAGCAAACAGG